RNAcentral lists this ribosomal RNA (377 nucleotides) under uncultured eukaryote. RNAcentral's name for it is "partial 18S ribosomal RNA". It matches the Rfam family "Eukaryotic small subunit ribosomal RNA", at positions 592 to 976 of the family's 1831-position model. The record is from RNAcentral.
CAAUAGCGUAUAUUAAUGUUGCUGCAGUUAAAAAGCUCGUAGUUGGAUUUCGGGUGGGAAUGGCCGGUCCGCCGUUUCGGUGUGCACUUGCUACGCCCACCUUGCUGCCGGGGACGUGCUCUUGAGUUCACGCUCGGGACACGGAGUCGGCGAGGUUACUUUGAGUAAAUUAGAGUGUUCAAAGCAGGCCUACGCUCUGAAUACAUUAGCAUGGAAUAACACGAUAGGACUCUGGCCUAUCUUGUUGGUCUGUAGGACCGGAGUAAUGAUUAAGAGGGACAGUCGGGGGCAUUCGUAUUUCAUUGUCAGAGGUGAAAUUCUUGGAUUUAUGAAAGACGAACUACUGCGAAAGCAUUUGCCAAGGAUGUUUUCAUUAA